GUGUGGAACUCAGAAGCCCCACCUCCCGGACGUGACGCCUGUGUAGUUCCGGGCAGUGACAGCGGAAUGUAAACAGUAGCGCAGUUCCGCGGACAAAUCGACGCAGAUUCACGGAGAUUCACGGGGUCCGAGACCGGGACCGAUUCUCCCGUCCUUCAGCUGUUCUGAGGGUUAUGUCCCGGUGACAGUUCAUCUCCACGCUUCAAUUCCGACCCCUGCCUUCUCCAAAUUCAAACACCACCAACAAAACAAAACCAUUUGAACAAGGGGGCAGGGUGAACAGGACGUCCAAUCAUGGAGAGCGCUGAGGUGUCAACUGACUGUCUCCAUGGCGGCACAGAGCAUGCACUUCCUGUCCGGGCGAAGGGGGAGGAGCUGACAACGGACAGGGUGGAGUCAGAGGUGCGGCUCUGCGUGGAGGAGAGCUCCGCCAUGACGCCUUCAGAUGAACUGCACUCCAUAGACUCCGCCUCCUUCCCCAGCCUCAGCGACGGCGCCAUCACAGACGAUGACAUCACGGAGGAUGUUACCACCUAUGACAUCACCACCACGGAGGACAUCACCACAGUGGGCGGGCCCUCCCCAGAGCCGCCCGCGCAGAAAGCAGCGGAUUCCAAAACAGAUUUCACAGGAAAGGCAGCCCCGUCCUCCUCCCCUUCUACCUCAGCCCCUCUCACCGCCGCUGCAUUACCAGAUGCCCUGCCCUCCACAUCAGCAGCAGUUCUCUCAUCUUCAUUAUCCAGUGUUGCCACUCCCUCUGUUGCCAUAUCCCCGUCCUCUGUGUCAUCAGCCACGCCCCCCGCUGUGGAGGCUCCUCCCCCUGCAGCAGAAGCCCCGCCCACUGCGCCCUCUGGUGCGGAGGCGGGCUCUCAGGAGUUCUACCUGGUCAAGUGGAUCACGUGGAAAGAGAAACAGACGCCGAUCGUCACCCAGAGCCAGAACGGA
This 945-nucleotide long non-coding RNA is filed under the name Neogobius melanostomus (round goby). RNAcentral's name for it is "lncRNA (ENSNMLG00000016878.1)". The record is from RNAcentral. Lineage: Eukaryota; Metazoa; Chordata; Actinopteri; Gobiiformes; Gobiidae.